RNAcentral lists this ribosomal RNA (301 nucleotides) under uncultured bacterium. RNAcentral's name for it is "partial 16S ribosomal RNA". It matches the Rfam family "Bacterial small subunit ribosomal RNA", at positions 509 to 809 of the family's 1533-position model. The record is from RNAcentral.
CAGUCGCCACGGUAAUGCGUAGGUGGCAAGCGUUGUCCGGAAUUAUUGGGCGUAAAGGGCUCGCAGGCGGUUUCUUAAGUCUGAUGUGAAAGCCCCCGGCUCAACCGGGGAGGGUCAUUGGAAACUGGGAAACUUGAGUGCAGAAGAGGAGAGUGGAAUUCCACGUGUAGCGGUGAAAUGCGUAGAGAUGUGGAGGAACACCAGUGGCGAAGGCGACUCUCUGGUCUGUAACUGACGCUGAGGAGCGAAAGCGUGGGGAGCGAACAGGAUUAGAUACCCCGGUAGUCCCUGUCUCUUAUAU